AAAUUAAACGAUUUUCACCUUCAUAUAUCCUCGAUAAUAUGGUUCGAGAGUCUCUACCGGAUUACCUUAAAUGAUCUGACUAUGAAGGCAGGAUACAGUCUG
This 102-nucleotide non-coding RNA is filed under the name Bacillus sp. (in: firmicutes). Its description in RNAcentral is "Bacillus sp. Guanine sequence". It matches the Rfam family "Purine riboswitch aptamer". From Rfam's summary of the family: Riboswitches are metabolite binding domains within certain messenger RNAs that serve as precision sensors for their corresponding targets. Allosteric rearrangement of mRNA structure is mediated by ligand binding, and this results in modulation of gene expression. Lineage: Bacteria; Bacillati; Bacillota; Bacilli; Caryophanales; Bacillaceae. The record is from RNAcentral. RNAcentral also lists the same sequence under 1 other name.